CCUGGAAGGGAGCAUCGUAGAGGGUGACAAUCCCGUCUCUGACACGGACCGCCGGCGCUGUGCGAUGCGCUCUCGACGAGUCGAGUUGUUUGGGAAUGCAGCUCAAAUCGGGUGGUAAACUCCAUCUAAAGCUAAAUACGGGCGAGAGACCGAUAGCGAACAAGUACCGUGAGGGAAAGAUGAAAAGAACUUUGGAAAGAGAGUUAAACAGUACGUGAAAUUGCUGGAAGGGAAACGCUUGACGUCAGUCGCGUCGUCCGGGGAUCAACCCUGCCUCUGGCUGGGCGUAUUUCCCGGUCGACGGGUCAGCAUCGAUUUCGAUCGUCGUAGAAGGACGGGAGCGAACGUGGCACUCCACGGAGUGUGUUAUAGCCUUCCGUAUGGAUGCGACGGUCGGGAUCGAGGAACUCGGCACGGCCCCUCGAGGGUUCGGGACUUCGGUCCACGCAGCGUGCCCAGGAUGCUGGCGUAAUGGCUUUAAGCGACCCGUCUUGAAACACGGACCAAGGAGUCUAACGUGCCUGCGAGUGUUUGGGUGAAAAACCCGAGCGCGCAACGAAAGUGAAAGUCGAGACCUCCGUCGCGGAGGGCACCGACGCCCGGACCGGAGCCUUUGGCGAUGGAUCUGCGGUAGAGCAUGUAUGUUGGGACCCGAAAG
This 658-nucleotide ribosomal RNA is filed under the name Scleroderma sp. RNAcentral describes it as "LSU rRNA". It matches the Rfam family "Eukaryotic large subunit ribosomal RNA", at positions 189 to 822 of the family's 3401-position model. Lineage: Eukaryota; Fungi; Basidiomycota; Agaricomycetes; Boletales; Sclerodermataceae. The record is from RNAcentral.